This 87-nucleotide transfer RNA is filed under the name Bryobacteraceae bacterium. Its description in RNAcentral is "tRNA-Leu". It matches the Rfam family "tRNA". Rfam says of the family: Transfer RNA (tRNA) molecules are approximately 80 nucleotides in length. Their secondary structure includes four short double-helical elements and three loops (D, anti-codon, and T loops). Lineage: Bacteria; Pseudomonadati; Acidobacteriota; Terriglobia; Bryobacterales; Bryobacteraceae. The record is from RNAcentral.
GCGGAUGUGGCGAAAUUGGCAGACGCGCCAGACUUAGGAUCUGGUUCCCGAGAGGGAGUGCUGGUUCAAGUCCAGUCAUCCGCACCA